CCUACGGGCGGCAGCAGUGAGGAAUAUUGGUCAAUGGCCGGAAGGCUGAACCAGCCAUGCCGCGUGAAGGUCAGUGCCCUAUGGGCGUUAAACUUCUUUUGUGCGGGAGCAAUAAUGGUCACGUGUGGCCAGACGAGAGUACCGUACGAAUAAGCAUCGGCUAACUCCGUGCCAGCAGCCGCGGUAAUACGGGGGAUGCAAGCGUUUUCCGGAUUUAUUGGGUUUAAAGGGUUCGUAGGCUGUGAGGUAAGUCAGCGGUGAAAUGCCCCCGCUCAACGGGGUGAAGUGCCAUUGAUACUGCCUGGCUGGAAUGCGGAUGCGGUGGGAGGAAUGUGUGGUGUAGCGGUGAAAUGCAUAGAUAUCACACAGAACACCGAUUGCGAAGGCAUCUCACGAAUCCGCGAUUGACGCUGAUGCACGAAAGCGUGGGUAUCAAACAGGAUUAGAUACCCGGGUAGUC
RNAcentral lists this ribosomal RNA (460 nucleotides) under uncultured bacterium. RNAcentral's name for it is "partial 16S ribosomal RNA". It matches the Rfam family "Bacterial small subunit ribosomal RNA", at positions 338 to 795 of the family's 1533-position model. The record is from RNAcentral.